Molecule: long non-coding RNA, 452 nt
Filed under: Mytilus galloprovincialis (Mediterranean mussel)
Lineage: Eukaryota; Metazoa; Mollusca; Bivalvia; Mytilida; Mytilidae
Source: RNAcentral
AAAAAAUCCUUGGUCCAUCUUUACAUUUCCGAAGUCUUAGACUAGCAAAUUUGACAUCAAUUUGAGAACCAAGUCCUCAUUUUUCGGCCUCUUCUACCAGGCCACACUGUUCAGUUAUUUUACGGAUUGCAAAUUGAAAAGGUACUUCAUUUUUCACCAUUCCAUUCAGGUACUCUGGGUCAAUGUAACUUAUCAAACAUUCCAUAUACAUCUGAAUUAUUUUCAUCAUAGGACUGACCAAGGUUUUAGCUGGGUAAGAAGUGACCCUUCCUUUUAAAGUUUUGGAUACAUUACAAAUAGAAGCCAGAAAUAACUACAUUGGUUAGACGUAUAGGGGGGCCUUGAGAUAUCCCAAAACAUGUUUAACACUGCCGCAUUUGUUGCACCUGUCCCAACUUGAGUCCGUAACCUCUGCUAUAUAGUCUUGUUUUUAUUUAAUUUUUAAAUUUUGG